RNAcentral lists this ribosomal RNA (484 nucleotides) under uncultured bacterium. RNAcentral's name for it is "partial 16S ribosomal RNA". It matches the Rfam family "Bacterial small subunit ribosomal RNA", at positions 29 to 507 of the family's 1533-position model. The record is from RNAcentral.
AUUGAACGCUGGCGGCAUGCUUUACACAUGCGAGUCGAACGGCAGCUCGGUCUUCGGCCUGGCUGCGAGUGGCGGACGGGGGAGUAAUACAUCAAAACGUGCCCAGUAGGGGGGGAUAGCUCGGCGAAAGCCGGAUUAAUACCGCAAACGACGUGCUGGUGAAAGCGGGGGAUCUUCAGAGCACGGGCACUUGGAAAGACCGAUGGCAGAUUAGCUAGUUGGUGGGGUAAAGGCCUACCAAGGCGACGAUCUGUAGCUGGACUGAGAGGACGACCGGCCGCACUGGGACUGAGACACGGCCCAGACUCCUACGGGAGGCAGCAGUGGGGAAUUUUGGACAAUGGGCGAAAGCCUGAUCCAGCAAUGCCGCGUGUGUGAUGAAGGCCUUCGGGUUGUAAAGCACUUUUGGCGGGAAAGAAAAGGACUGUGCCAAUACCACGGUUCGAUGACGGUACCCGAAGAAUAAGCACCGGCUAACUACGUG